UACGUAGGGUGCGAGCGUUGUCCGGAAUUAUUGGGCGUAAAGAGCUCGUAGGCGGCUUGUCACGUCGGGUGUGAAAGCCCGGGGCUUAACCCCGGGUCUGCAUUCGAUACGGGCUAGCUAGAGUGUGGUAGGGGAGAUCGGAAUUCCUGGUGUAACGGUGAAAUGCGCAGAUAUCAGGAGGAACACCGGUGGCGAAGGCGGAUCUCUGGGCCAUUACUGACGCUGAGGAGCGAAAGCGUGGGGAGCGAACAGG
RNAcentral lists this ribosomal RNA (253 nucleotides) under uncultured bacterium. Its description in RNAcentral is "partial 16S ribosomal RNA". It matches the Rfam family "Bacterial small subunit ribosomal RNA", at positions 524 to 776 of the family's 1533-position model. The record is from RNAcentral.